UGCCGGGGAUGGCUCCGGCGGGCUCCGGCACUCCCCGCACGGAGGAUGAGCCAAAGAUGGACAGAGCGGCUCCUUCCUUACGCUGUAACCUUCCUGCGGGGGUUAAAGAUGUGCUGUUCCCCACGAAAAGCUGUGUGCCUCGUUCCCAUCUUCCUCCCUGAGGGCUCUGUGCCUUUCCGCAGGUUGGGAUGCGUCCAACACCGCGGCCAGCACUUGCCAAAGGGGGAUCGGAGCAGCUUGAGCCACCUCUGUGCAGGCUGGAUGGAGAAGCACAGGCUCCAGGGAGGAAUAUGCCUGACACCAGCACCUGGGUUGAAAAUUAACUGAAGUCUCCUGAAAAAGGGCUGACCACCAUUCUGCUCCAGAUCUCUUUGCUUUAUUAGAAUACUCUUUAAAAGAUGACACUGCAGUUCAAGUCCAGAACCACUCUACAGAACAAUGAAUAGUGUUCACUGAAAUCACCAUUCCUGUGAACUUCACAAAAAAACACAGCAGGAAAAUUAAAGAUACAGUACUCCAGACUGACCAAGUUUCUGCUGGCAUGGAAAUGAAAGAGGGUUCUGCAGCUAGAGGCCACUCAGCCAUUAGGAUCAAACUCUUAAUAAUGGCCAUGGAAAUGUUUCUUGACUUCUGUUUAAAUCACUGAUUGCUCAAACCUUUACCUGGGUCACU
Melospiza melodia melodia is the source of this 672-nucleotide long non-coding RNA. RefSeq lists it as uncharacterized. The record is from RefSeq and is a predicted model, not a curated record. The transcript has 2 exons. NCBI's taxonomy places the organism in Eukaryota, Metazoa, Chordata, Aves, Passeriformes, Passerellidae.